This is a long non-coding RNA of Lytechinus pictus (painted urchin), 463 nucleotides long. RefSeq lists it as uncharacterized. NCBI's taxonomy places the organism in Eukaryota, Metazoa, Echinodermata, Echinoidea, Temnopleuroida, Toxopneustidae. The transcript is spliced from 3 exons. The record is from RefSeq and is a predicted model, not a curated record.
GGUCGUCGUGUUACGUCUGUUGUUUACGACGUUAGACAUCGUUGGUUGUAUUGGGCUCAGGGACAAUACCAAUUUCCAACUGAUGUCCAGAAGGCUGGUAUAGAUGCAACCGGAACUACGGGAACUAUUGUCGUAAAAUCAACUGUGUGGACGAUGGAUCUAGACGAAUCUUGCCAUACACUGUACUUUUCUAAUCAAUGGUUUAUUGCUUAUCCCGAACUUCGCAAAGCUGACGUCACUGACGGAGGACCAAAUGCCGCAGUGAUAAAAGGACUAUACGAUCGGAGCACAUAUUACGCGGGCGGCGUUAAAUACGACAAAAUCACCAGACGGGUUUUAUGGACGGAUAGAGUGAAAAUUUGGUCCAGGGACACUGAUUCAUGGAUAGGCAACGACCCCGACACAAGGGAAGAGAUCGUCCACGUUGGGGAAGAAGCCAACAUCCUCGAUAUAGACCUAGAUU